Molecule: non-coding RNA, 393 nt
Filed under: Gossypium arboreum
Lineage: Eukaryota; Viridiplantae; Streptophyta; Magnoliopsida; Malvales; Malvaceae
Description: Eukaryotic small subunit ribosomal RNA
Rfam family: Eukaryotic small subunit ribosomal RNA
Source: Rfam by way of RNAcentral
AUACAUUAGCAUGGGAUAACAUCAUAGGAUUUCGAUCCUAUUGUGUUGGCCUUCGGGAUCGGAGUAAUGAUUAAUAGGGACAGUCAGGGGCAUUCGUAUUUCAUAGUCAAAGGUGAAAUUCUUGGAUUUAUGAAAGACGAACAACUUCAAAAGCAUUUGCCAAGGAUGUUUUCAUUAAUCAAGAACGAAAGUUGGGGGCUUGAAGACGAUCAGAUACCGUCCUAGUCUCAACCAUAAACGAUGUCAAACAGGGAUCAGCGGAUAUUGCUUUUAGGACUCUACCGGCACCAUAUGAGAAAUCAAAGUCUUUGGGUUCCGAGGGGAGUAUGGUCGCAAGGCUGAAACUUAAAGGAAUUGACAGAAGGGCACCACCAGGAGUGGAGCCUGCGGCUU